This is a long non-coding RNA of Microplitis mediator, 1941 nucleotides long. RefSeq lists it as uncharacterized. The transcript has 3 exons. NCBI's taxonomy places the organism in Eukaryota, Metazoa, Arthropoda, Insecta, Hymenoptera, Braconidae. The record is from RefSeq and is a predicted model, not a curated record.
CAGUCUCCCACUUAUUCGAGAUUCUCAAUAUUCUCAUUGUCUUUGUAAUCUAUACCCGUGAAAAUUAUUUAUUUAAUUAUUGUGCAAUUAAAUUAUAAAUAUUCGUCACUUAAGAAUCUUUUUUUGUGACAUGAAAAAUAUUUUAGAAUAUUAAUUUAUGUGAGUGAGUGGUUUUAAGUUUUGAUAUAAAUUAAAUUCAGUGCCGGCUUAGUGUACAUUCCGCGUUACUGUGCGCCAUGUUGAUUGUUGGAGUUUUAAUUGACUAAUUAAAUUUAAAAAUUGUCUUCAUCUUAAAAAAAAUUAUUUCCGAGUGAUUAUUGAGUUGAGUGAUUAAUUAUUUUUAUAAAUUUUAAUUAUUUAGUGAAUGUUAGUGUAUUUACUGUAUUAAUUUGUGCAUGGACGCGGAUUCGCAGCAGAGAAUGAAAAAGGCGGGAAGAGAGUCAAAUUCGAACAUCUUAUGGACGGUCACUUAGGAUUAGCAGUAAGAGGAACGAAAAUGUGGGAUGAUUAUAAUUACUGGCCGUCUUCAGAGCACAAAUGGUUUCUUCCAAAAGUUAUACGCAAUAUCAUCAGAGAAAAAAUCAUAAUAAAGGAUUAUAUAAAUUCAGCAGAAUCAACUACUCAAAAUAUACUAAUCAGUCGUUCAGGAUUAAAUUAUGUUGAUUUAUCUGUGGGGUUGUUAUCCCACGAAUACAAUAAUUUACCAGUCAUUCCUUUCUUUGACACACAAGAUGUCGUAUUGGAUCCUUCAGUUCCACUUGGUGGACUAGGCUUAUAUUUCAAAGGACAACUUGGUUACGGCGGAUUUUUGGCUUUCCAGUUAAUUACGUCUGAAUAUUCAUUCAACAUGAACUCGGAAUUGUUAUGCUCAAAAACUCCAUAGCCAUUUAUAAUGGGUCUGAUAAGUGACAAAUUAUGGUACGGGUUAAUUGUGUAUGGACAAUCUUAGACAGGACUUUUUGCUUUUAUGAGUCCAAUUACUUGUAAUGUCAUAAGUGCAUUAAAGGUAUUUUCAGACGUAUCUUCCCCCCCCUCCCAAUUUUUUUAAUUCAUCCGUAGACAUAACUUAGUGUCUACGUAGAUGAGAAUUGGACUGCCUCGACAUUCCCAUAGAGAACCUGAGAUGCAACACUGUAUUACUUUUUAAUACAUAAUUGAUAUAGUGUAGAAAGAAAAGUAGUUAGUCUGAGGACUCAGCAAAUACUGGCACUCGACUGAAUUCGAUCUAUUGGUUUGUCUUUUUACAUUUUCUCAAUAAAACCUACAAUUAAUUAACCCUUCAUUUCGGGUUGUCAUUACUUUCUUAAACUUAAAAUAGUGAAAAAAGUUACUAUUCACUGCUUACUAGUGGAAAUUAUGUCACUAAUUCAAAUAGUGGUAUACUUUUCACUGGCAAUAAGUAACUAUUUACUGCUAAAUAGUGAUUUUCACUAAUUCAUUUGUAAAGAAUAGCCAUCCCAAUACCUCACCAACACAAGCCUACAGAUUUUAGACGCUGAUGCCAACUGGCGAAAUAACCAACCUAAUAAUAAAGGCUAUUACCGGAUGCCCAGCCAUCCUUCAAAUUGCCCAUCCUUAUGACCAGAAAGGGCAGAUGGGAUCGGAUAAAUAAAUAAAAAAUCGUAAAAAUGAAUCAAUUUUAAUAAUUUAUAAAAUAAUCGACGACCAGAGCCCGCUGGGGGUCUAUCGACACCCUAGUGAAGCCCAACCUAGACAUUAAUGGACAAAUAUAAUAUUUGAAAACAAAUGAAUUGGAAUUGACAAUUUUCCGUUUUUCACACUAGGUUGUCUUAUUCCCAAUUUAUACUUAAAUCUUUUUUCUUUUUCAAGUGAUAAAAUUUGAUUACGGUUUUGACAGUUAUCAUUGGUCAUGUUUAGAAAGUGGGAACUACUGUCUAAGAUUGUCCUUCAAUUCGUACCAAAUAGACGAUACAAUUUUAA